UGGGGGGGAAAGGGAAUGGGGGCGCAAGCCUGAUCCAGCCAUACCGCGUGGGUGAAGAAGGCCUUCGGGUUGUAAAGCCCUUUUGUUGGGAAAGAAAUCCAGCCGGCUAAUACCUGGUUGGGAUGACGGUACCCAAAGAAUAAGCACCGGCUAACUUCGUGCCAGCAGCCGCGGAAAUACGGAAGU
This 186-nucleotide ribosomal RNA is filed under the name uncultured bacterium. Its description in RNAcentral is "partial 16S ribosomal RNA". It matches the Rfam family "Bacterial small subunit ribosomal RNA", at positions 352 to 532 of the family's 1533-position model. The record is from RNAcentral.